RNAcentral lists this transfer RNA (72 nucleotides) under Etmopterus schultzi (fringefin lanternshark). RNAcentral describes it as "tRNA-Val". It matches the Rfam family "tRNA". From Rfam's summary of the family: Transfer RNA (tRNA) molecules are approximately 80 nucleotides in length. Their secondary structure includes four short double-helical elements and three loops (D, anti-codon, and T loops). Further hydrogen bonds mediate the characteristic L-shaped molecular structure. tRNAs have two regions of fundamental functional importance: the anti-codon, which is responsible for specific mRNA codon recognition, and the 3' end, to which the tRNAs corresponding amino acid is attached (by aminoacyl-tRNA synthetases). tRNAs cope with the degeneracy of the genetic code in two manners: having more than one tRNA (with a specific anti-codon) for a particular amino acid; and 'wobble' base-pairing, i.e. permitting non-standard base-pairing at the 3rd anti-codon position. Lineage: Eukaryota; Metazoa; Chordata; Chondrichthyes; Squaliformes; Etmopteridae. The record is from RNAcentral.
CAAAACGUAGCUAAAUUAGUAAAGCGCCUCCCUUACACCGAGGAAAAAUCCGUGCAACUCGGGUCAUUUUGA